UCGUACGGGGCCGCAAGGCCCAGUGGCGGGCGGGUUAGUAAUACGAUCGAACGUACCCUGAGGUGGAGGAUAGCGGCGGGAAACCGCCGGUAAUACUCCAUGAUCUCUCCGGAGCAAAGUCGCAAGGCGCCUUUGGAUCGGCGAUCGUCCUAUCAGCUAGUUGGCGGGGUAAAGGCCCACCAAGGCGAUGACGGGUAGCAGGUGUGAGAGCACGACCUGCAACAUCGGGACUGAGACACUGCCCGGACUCCUACGGGAGGCUGCAGCGACGAAUCUUCCGCAAUGGGCGAAAGCCUGACGGAGCGACGCCGCGUGUGGGAUGAAGCGCCUUCGGCGUGUAAACCACUGUCAGAGGACAGAAACACUGAUUGUCCUCAGAGGAAGGGGCGACUAACUCUGUGCCAGCAGUCGCGGUAAUACAGAGGCCCCGAGCGUUAAUCGGAAUUACUGGGCUUAAAGGGUGCGUAGGCGGACCAGAAAGUGCUUUGUGAAAGCCCCCGGCUCAACCGGGGAACUGCGGGGCAUACUGCUGGUCUUGAGGCAAGUAAGGGUUGCGAGAACUGUAGGUGGAGCGGUGAAAUGCGUAGAUAUCUACAGGAAUGCCGAUGGUGAAGACGCGCAACUGGGCUUGUCCUGACGCUGAGGCACGAAAGCGUGGGGAGCAAACAGGAUUAGAUACCCUGGUAGUCCACGCCGUAAACAAUGCACGCUAGAUCGGGGUGGCUCUGACGCCGGCUCGGUCGAAGCAAAAGCGAUAAGCGUGCCGCCUGGGGAGUACGGUCGCAAGGCUAAAACUCAAAGGAAUUGACGGGGGCUCACACAAGCGGUGGAGCAUGUU
This 838-nucleotide ribosomal RNA is filed under the name uncultured bacterium. RNAcentral's name for it is "bacterial SSU rRNA". It matches the Rfam family "Bacterial small subunit ribosomal RNA", at positions 62 to 943 of the family's 1533-position model. The record is from RNAcentral.